GUCUUUUUGAUUAUAAUUUAAAGUCUAACCUGCCCAAUGAGGAGUUAAAUGGCCGCGGUAAUUUGACCGUGCAAAGGUAGCAUAAUCAUUAGUUUUUUAAUUGAAAGCUGGUAUGAAUGGUUGGACGAGAAAGUGACUGUCUCAAUUUAAUUGAAUUAGAAUUUUAUUUAUAAGUAAAAAAGCUUAUAUGUAUUUAAAAGACGAGAAGACCCUAUAGAAUUUUAUAUUUGUAUAAAUAAUUUUUUUUUAGAAGUUUAGAUUUCUUAUUUAUAUAAUUAUUUUGUUGGGGUGACAAAGAAAUUUAAUAAACUUUUUUUAAAUGAUUACAUUGAUUUAUGAGUUUAUGAUCCAUUGUUUAUGAUUAAAAGAUUAAAUUACCUUAGGGAUAACAGCGUAAUUUUUUUUUAGAGUUCUUAUCGAAAAGAAAGUUUGCGACCUCGAUGUUGGAUUUAAAA
Molecule: ribosomal RNA, 455 nt
Filed under: Phileurini sp. PHILoz
Lineage: Eukaryota; Metazoa; Arthropoda; Insecta; Coleoptera; Scarabaeidae
Description: partial 16S ribosomal RNA
Rfam family: Bacterial large subunit ribosomal RNA
Source: RNAcentral